AGGGAGACCUACCUUGGGGCAUCUGAGGGGAGUUAGACCACCCUCAGGCCAGCAAAGGUUAUCCCAGGUCGGUCGGGGUUGAAGGGAUGGUUGACUGGGGUUCUGGAGGGGAACCGAGGGGAGGGCUAUUAGCUCAGGUGGUUAGAGCGCACCCCUGAUAAGGGUGAGGUCCCUGGUUCGAGUCCAGGAUGGCCCACUGUUUGUCCUGGAAAAGGGAGAGCUGGCAAGCUAGAAGCGAGCUGGCCAAGCUGAGGGCAAAGCCAGAGGGUGGGUGCAGUCUGGAUUGGGGGUAUAGCUCAGCUGGUAGAGCACUGCCUUUGCACGGCAGAAGUCAGCGGUUCGAGUCCGCUUACCUCCACCAC
This 362-nucleotide transfer RNA is filed under the name uncultured cyanobacterium. Its description in RNAcentral is "partial 16S-23S intergenic spacer". The stretch from base 286 to 358 matches the Rfam family "tRNA". Lineage: Bacteria; Bacillati; Cyanobacteriota. The record is from RNAcentral.